UUCCGGUUGAUCCUGCCGAAGGUUACUGCUAUUGGAGUUCGAUUAAGCCAUGCGAGUCAAGGGGACUUCGGUCACCGGCGGAAUGCUCAGUAACACGUGGACAAUCUGCCCUCGGGUGGGGAAUAAACCCGCGAAAGUGGGGCUAAUACCCCAUAGGCACAGGAGGCUGGAAUGCAUCUGUGCCCAAAGCUCCGGCGCCUGAGGAUGAGUCUGCGGCCUAUCAGGUUGUAGUCAGGGUCAUGACCUGACUAGCCAGCGACGGGUAUGGGGUGUGAGAGCACUUGCCCAGAGAUGGUUUCUGAGACACGAAACCAGGCCCUACGGGGCGCAGCAGGCGCGAAAACUUCGCAAUGCGGGAAACCGUGACGAGGGGAUUCCAAGUGUCUAUGCAUUGCAUAGACUGUUUUUUAGCCUAAAUAGCUAUUAGAGUAAGGGGUGGGCAAGACCGGUGCCAGCCGCCGCGGUAACACCGGCACCCCGAGUGGUAGCCACUAUUAUUGGGCCUAAAGCGUUCGUAGCCGGUUUGGUAAAUUCUUGGGUAAAUCGUACCGCUUAACGGUGCGGAUUCUGGGGACACUACCAGACUUGAGACCGGGAGAGAUUAGAGGUACUUGCGGGGGAGCGGUGAAAUGUUGUAAUCCCGCAGGGACCACCAGUGGCGAAGGCGUCUAAUCAUAACGGCUUUGACGGUGAGGAACGAAACCCUGGGGCGCAAACGGGAUUAGAUACCCCGGUAGUCCAGGGCGUAAACGCUGCUGACUUGGUGUUGGAGAUCCUAAGAGGGUGUCCAGUGCUGGCGCGAAGGUAUUAAGUCAGCCGCCUGGGGAGUACGGUCGCAAGACUGAAACUUAAAGGAAUUGGCGGGGGAGCACUGCAACGUGUGGAGCGUGCGGUUUAAUUGGAGUCAACGCCGGA
RNAcentral lists this ribosomal RNA (915 nucleotides) under uncultured marine archaeon. Its description in RNAcentral is "bacterial SSU rRNA". It matches the Rfam family "Archaeal small subunit ribosomal RNA", at positions 1 to 922 of the family's 1478-position model. The record is from RNAcentral.